GCAGUGCUCUGUCUUGUUCCCUUCCGGCCACCCCGCCCGGUUCUCCCUGUGAGGAGUCAACAGCUCCUGGGUGGUUCCCAGUGGGGGAAAAAAACUGGGUCGGUCCAAACCAAACCUCCGCUGAGCUUCCCGGACUGGGACUUCGAGAAUAAGGGAAGAAGACUGACGUGGUAAACCUUCUGCCACUUGCGUUCUACUGCCAGAGAAGGGAUUACAAACUCAAGGGCCUCCAG
This 233-nucleotide long non-coding RNA is filed under the name Ictidomys tridecemlineatus (thirteen-lined ground squirrel). RNAcentral describes it as "lncRNA (ENSSTOG00000029887.1)". The record is from RNAcentral. Lineage: Eukaryota; Metazoa; Chordata; Mammalia; Rodentia; Sciuridae.